GAUGAACGCUGGCGGCGUGCUUAACACAUGCAAGUCGAACGGAAAGGCCCAAGCUUGCUUGGGUACUCGAGUGGCGAACGGGUGAGUAACACGUGGGUGAUCUGCCCUGCACUUCGGGAUAAGCCUGGGAAACUGGGUCUAAUACCGGAUAGGACCACUUCUUGGAUGUUGUGGUGGAAAGUUUUCUCGGUGUGGGAUGAGCUCGCGGCCUAUCAGCUUGUUGGUGGGGUAAUGGCCUACCAAGGCGUCGACGGGUAGCCGGCCUGAGAGGGUGUACGGCCACAUUGGGACUGAGAUACGGCCCAGACUCCUACGGGGGGCAGCAGUGGGGAAUAUUGCACAAUGGGCGCAAGCCUGAUGCAGCGACGCCGCGUGGGGGAUGACGGCCUUCGGGUUGUAAACUCCUUUCGCUAGGGACGAAGCGUUUUUGUGACGGUACCUGGAGAAGAAGCACCGGCUAACUACGUG
RNAcentral lists this ribosomal RNA (468 nucleotides) under uncultured bacterium. Its description in RNAcentral is "partial 16S ribosomal RNA". It matches the Rfam family "Bacterial small subunit ribosomal RNA", at positions 28 to 507 of the family's 1533-position model. The record is from RNAcentral.